GUCCUCGUAGUUAAAUGGAUAUAACCGGCCCCUCCUAAGGGUCAAUUACAGGUUCGAUUCCUGUCGAGGACGCCA
Molecule: transfer RNA, 75 nt
Filed under: Sideroxydans lithotrophicus ES-1
Lineage: Bacteria; Pseudomonadati; Pseudomonadota; Betaproteobacteria; Nitrosomonadales; Gallionellaceae
Also listed under: 13 other names
Description: tRNA-Arg (CCT) (tRNA-Arg-CCT-1-1)
Rfam family: tRNA
About the family: Transfer RNA (tRNA) molecules are approximately 80 nucleotides in length. Their secondary structure includes four short double-helical elements and three loops (D, anti-codon, and T loops).
Source: RNAcentral